GUCCACGCCGUAAACUAUGAUUACUCGAUAUUGGCGAUACACAGUCAGUGUCUAAGCGAAAGUGAUAAGUAAUCCACCUGGGGAGUACGUUGGCAACAAUGAAACUCAAAGGAAUUGACGGGGGCCCGCACAAGCGGUGGAGCAUGUGGUUUAAUUCGAUGAUACGCGAGGAACCUUACCAGGGCUUAAAUGCAGACUGACAGAUCUGGAAACAGAUUUUUCUUCGGACAGACUGCAAGGUGC
RNAcentral lists this ribosomal RNA (243 nucleotides) under uncultured bacterium. RNAcentral's name for it is "partial 16S ribosomal RNA". It matches the Rfam family "Bacterial small subunit ribosomal RNA", at positions 793 to 1041 of the family's 1533-position model. The record is from RNAcentral.